UAAUCUAAUGGAGGAGCUCACAAGUGCUUGAAGAGACUGAGAAAGGGGGUAUCAGCGGGUCUCAAGUCUGUCUGGAGUGACCUGUUCACUGGUAGACCAGUACCUCAAUUGAGAUGCCCAUCAGAGAGCAGACUGGAGGCUGGGGUGAUGAAAAAGGAAACAAGCUGUGAAAACACCCUCCGACUUCUGGUGUCACCAUAUCCUCUGCCCCAGCCCCCUGGUCUAUCAGUACGAGGAGUCGCCUUUCAAACUCCCCACACUUUGGAGAUCUGAGAAGUUGGCUUGAAGACAGUGACAGUCAUUCGCAAAAAUAAAGCCCGGAAAUUUGCAUUGCCGCCCCAGGGGAGGGACUCAUCUCGCCUUGGGCAAUACCCUGGAAGUGGCGCAACUUGGUCCAGUUUAUUUCUCGUGGAUACUAGAUGGCACCUUGAGGGCGUGGGAGCAACGCACAGGUCUGCAAGCAGCGUGGGGCUCCAACGAGCUGGACCUCAGUUUCCCCUUUUCCAAGCUCCCCCUUCGGACGACGCGGUGGUCAUUUUCCACCGGUGGACGGCUCAUCCCGUAAGUUCAGCCUUCCCAAGUUUUCACACCAUUCCCGAAUUUUGGAUUUCUGCUACCAGGCCUCCGAGCGGAUGACCUCAGAGGACCGACGGAGGUCGCUGCUGCUCUUUCUACCAACUGCCAAACCUUCAACCUUUCAAAACAAAAAAAGUUAGGGCCUGGAAGGGAGGGAAGGAGGAAUUUUGACAUCGUCACAGCUCCGAUUUGCCCAACCGAAUACUGUACUCCCCAAACUGGAACUCUUCAACAAGGUAUCGGCAAACGGCUCCGCGGAGUUGGCAACCUCUCCUCGACUUAAAUGUCUGUGCCUGCCUCCCUUCCCCCCACCAAACCCUCGCAAGGGUCAGAACCAGUUUCUUGGGACUCGGGUCCUCUCCAGAAAGCAGGGUCCAGAAGACCUCCAAACAGGCCCGAUUCACAGCCAUUAAUUCAAUCGUAUGUAUUGAGCGCUUACUGUGUGCAGGGCACUGUACUAAGCGCUUGAAAAGUACAAUUCGGCGACAAAUACCACUUCGCAUUUAAUCCCACUGGGAUCCCUUUUUCUUUUUCUAAACAACCUCCAUCAUCGCCAUCUACAAUUCUCCGGCAACGAGCACUAGAUGGCCAUUUAUAUUCGACUUUCUAUUUAUAAGUGGGUCGAGGGGGGGGGGGUAAAAAAAAAAAAGAGAUGGCGAUGGAUAGGAGAGCCCACCCCUCAUCCCAUCUGCAAAGCAGUCUUUUCUUUUCCACCAGGGGCUCGUUUGCAAGGACGACCCAAGGCGUCAGUUUACUAAAGAAGCCAAAACUUCCAUCUCCCCACACCCCCUCCCAACCUUCUCAAAAAAAAGGGGGGGGGGGGAGGAAAGGAAUGCGCUUCGGCUCUCUCCUUAGAGAUCAUGUUUGAUGCCGCUACCUCCAGGAAUAGCGUGUGGACAGGGGCCAGAUGAACUUCAACUUGGGCUGCAGAUUUACGAGGCUUUGUCGCUAUGCCAAAGGUUGUGGUAGUAAAUAGUGAACAAAAUAGAGACCUGUCCCCUGCCAUAUGGGGCUCCUUCCCCUUCCACUCUUUUUUUAAAAAAGUUAUUUAUUAAAACCACCCCCCACACAAGCACCUUGCAGGGAAAAAUAAAGGAAGCUAUCUGUCUUUGGAGAGGAA
This is a long non-coding RNA of Tachyglossus aculeatus (Australian echidna), 1696 nucleotides long. RefSeq lists it as uncharacterized. The transcript is spliced from 6 exons. Lineage: Eukaryota; Metazoa; Chordata; Mammalia; Monotremata; Tachyglossidae. The record is from RefSeq and is a predicted model, not a curated record.